CGAGCGGUAAGGCCUCUUCGGGGGUACACGAGCGGCGAACGGGUGAGUAACACGUGAGUAAUCUGCCCUCCACUUCGGGAUAAGCCUCGGAAACGGGGUCUAAUACCGGAUAUGACUCUCCUCGGCAUCGGGGUGGGUGGAAAGUUUUUUCGGUGGGGGAUGUGCUCGCGGCCUAUCAGCUUGUUGGUGGGGUAAUGGCCUACCAAGGCUUCGACGGGUAGCCGGCCUGAGAGGGUGACCGGCCACACUGGGACUGAGACACGGCCCAGACUCCUACGGGAGGCAGCAGUGGGGAAUAUUGGACAAUGGGCGGAAGCCUGAUCCAGCAACGCCGCGUGAGGGAUGACGGCCUUCGGGUUGUAAACCUCUUUCAGUAGGGACGAAGCGCAAGUGACGGUACCUACAGAAGAAGCACCGGCCAACUACGUGCCAGCAGCCGCGGUAAUACGUAGGGUGCGAGCGUUGUCCGGAAUUAUUGGGCGUAAAGGGCUCGUAGGCGGUUUGUCGCGUCGGGAGUGAAAACCCAGGGCUUAACUCUGGGCUGGCUUCCGAUACGGGCAGACUAGAGGCAUGCAGGGGAGAACGGAAUUCCUGGUGUAGCGGUGAAAUGCGCAGAUAUCAGGAGGAACACCGGUGGCGAAGGCGGUUCUCUGGGCAUGUCCUGACGCUGAGGAGCGAAAGUGUGGGGAGCGAACAGGAUUAGAUACCCUGGUAGUCCACACCGUAAACGUUGGGCGCUAGGUGUGGGAUCCAUUCCACGGGUUCCGUGCCGCAGCUAACGCAUUAAGCGCCCCGCCUGGGGAGUAC
This 807-nucleotide ribosomal RNA is filed under the name Nocardioides sp. RNAcentral's name for it is "bacterial SSU rRNA". It matches the Rfam family "Bacterial small subunit ribosomal RNA", at positions 63 to 883 of the family's 1533-position model. Lineage: Bacteria; Bacillati; Actinomycetota; Actinomycetes; Propionibacteriales; Nocardioidaceae. The record is from RNAcentral.